Molecule: transfer RNA, 73 nt
Filed under: Clytia hemisphaerica
Lineage: Eukaryota; Metazoa; Cnidaria; Hydrozoa; Leptothecata; Clytiidae
Description: tRNA-Val for anticodon AAC
Rfam family: tRNA
About the family: Transfer RNA (tRNA) molecules are approximately 80 nucleotides in length. Their secondary structure includes four short double-helical elements and three loops (D, anti-codon, and T loops).
Source: Rfam by way of RNAcentral
GAUUCCGUAGUGUAGUGGUUAUCAAGUGUGCCUAACACGCACAAGGUCCCCGGUUCGAGCCCGGGCGGAAUCA